UGAGUAACCUGCCCUUAACUCUGGGAUAAGCCUGGGAAACUGGGUCUAAUACCGGAUAUGACUCCUCAUCGCAUGGUGGGGGGUGGAAAGCUUUAUUGUGGUUUUGGAUGGACUCGCGGCCUAUCAGCUUGUUGGUGAGGUAAUGGCUAACCAAGGCGACGACGGGUAGCCGGCCUGAGAGGGUGCCCGGCCACACUGGGACUGAGACACGGCCCAGACUCCUACGGGAGGCAG
This 234-nucleotide ribosomal RNA is filed under the name uncultured bacterium. RNAcentral describes it as "partial 16S ribosomal RNA". It matches the Rfam family "Bacterial small subunit ribosomal RNA", at positions 118 to 351 of the family's 1533-position model. The record is from RNAcentral.